UUAUAUAUCCAUUAUUUUCUUGCUUUUUCAACAAUUUAAUGGUUAUCACCAAAGUAACAUCAAUAAUAUACAAAUUUAUACUCUUAGGAGCAGAAUGAGAGACUGCACUUAAUUUGCACUUAAGCCUUAAGUAUGGUAACUUUUCUUUUUCUUUUUGUUUUUGUUUUUGUUUUUUUCUGAGACGGAGUCUCUGUCGCCCAGGCUGGAGUGCAGUGACGCAAUCUCAGCUCACUGCAAGCUCCGCCUCCUGGGUUCACGCCAUUCUCCUGCCUCAGCCUCCUGAGUAGCUGGGACUACAGGCACCCACCACCACACCCAGUUAAUUUUUUUGUAUUUUUAGUAGAGACGGGGUUUCACCGUGUUAGCCAGGAUGGUCUGGAGCUCCUGACCUCGUGAUCUGCCCACCUCAGCCUCCCAAAGUGCUAGGAUUACAGGUGUGAGCCACCGCGCCCGGCCUCAUGUUUUUUCUAUGAAUUAUUUUUGGGUCCUUUGUCCACAUUUUUGUUGAGUUCAGCUUUUUCUUUUGUUAAAGCUUAUAUAUUAGGGAAAUCAGAGCUUUUUAAGGAAAAUUAUUAUAUGAAAGUGUUAGGAAUAUUUUCCCCAGGAUCAUCUUUGACUGUGUUUUAUAGUUUCAUUUUUUGUAGUUAAGUGUGCCUCUUUUCCAUGUAGCUUUUGGAUGCUGUAAGAAGCCUUAGGGAGGCUUAUUCCACUUCUUAUUCCUAAUAUUCAAAUUUUACUCUGAAAAUUGUUUAUUGACAAUUAGAAUUUUUUUUUCAAUUUUUGAGACAGAGCUUUGCGCUGUCGCCCAGGCUGGAGUAUAGUAGUGCGAUUAUAGUUCACUGCAGCCUGGAACUCCUGAGCUCAAGCGAUUCUUCCACCUCAGCCUCCUGAGUAACUGGGACCACAGGUGUACACCAUCAUACCUGACUAAUUUUUAAAAUUUUUUUGUAGAAAUGGCGUCUCACUGUGUUGCGUAGGCUGAUCUGAAACUCCUGGCCUCGAGUGGUCCUUCCACCUCGGCCUCCCAAAGUGUUGGGAUUACAGGCAUGAGCCACCAUGCCUGGCCUGUUUGUUGAUAUUUAAAUAUUUGACCUGCCUGGAAUUUAUUUGGGUGCACAGACUGAGAGAAGGAACCAGACAUUGCUUUCCUAAUGGCUAGCCAGUCAUCUGAGUAGCUCACUUUUUCCCUGCUGAUUUGGAAAAUUCCUUAAUCAUGUAUCAGAAUCCCACCUGCAUGUGAUGUGGUCCUGAUGCUUGUAAGGGGGCCCCAUGGCAUGGUUGCUGUGAUAGGUGGUGAGCAGGUUUCCCUUCUUUGCUCUUAUUAGCAUAUGGUAUUUUUCUGGCUCUUCACAUGUUCUGGAUGAGUUUGGAAUCUUGUUUCUCCCCCUCUGCCCAGAUUUGCUUUGGAUGGCACUGAGUUUAUGCAUUUCAUUUAGAAUAAUUGAUAUUUGGGUCAUAUGGAGUCUUUUCCAUAUGUCUGUCCAUUUAUUUAAGCCUUCCUUUGUAUUCUUUUUAUAGUUCAAUAGUUUUCUUCUUUUAGGUCCUGUAAAUUUCUUACUAAAUUUAUUUUCAGGAGUUUUUAUGUGUUCUAUUAACAUCAUUUUCCAUCGUAUUUUCAAAUUAAUCUUUUUCUUCCUGUAUGGGAAAGCUUUCAAUUUUUUUUUUUUUUUUUUGAGACGGAGUCUCGCUCUGUCACCCAGGCUGGAGUGCAGUGGCAUGAUCUUGGCUCACUGCAAGCUCCAUCUUCUGGGUUCACACCAUUCUCCUGCCUCAGCCUCCAGAGUAGCUGGGACUACAGGCGCCUGCCACCACGCCCAGCUAAUUUUUUGUAUUUUUAGUAGAGAUGGGGUUUCACUGUGUUAGCCAGGAUGGUCUCGAUCUCCUGACCUCGUGAUCCGCCACCUCGGCCUCCCAAAGUGCCGGGAUUACAGGCAUGAGCCACCAUGCCCAGCGAUUUUUAAAUGUAAUUUGGAAUCUGGCAAACGUAUUGAGCUAUUAACUACUUUUUAAAAAUACUUGAGAUGUACUUUAUUAUACUAUUAUAGUUAGUACCAUCUAAUGCUUAGUAUCAUCUUUCUCAAAUUAAAAAAAAAGCAUACCCAAUAAAAUAAUUCAAAGUCUAGAAUUCCAUCAUUCAAUAUGGUAGCCACCACUCAUGUGCAGCAGUUUCGAUUUAUUAAAACUAAAUGCAACUUACAGCCAGGCGCGGUGGCAUAAACCUGGAGUCCCAGCACUCGGGAGGCUGAGGCGGGAGUUCGAGACCAGCCUGGGCACAUAGAGACCCUGUCUCUUAAAAAUAAAUAAAUAAAAGUGUUUCCUCAGUUUCCCUGGCCACAUUUCAAGUGCUAACUGAAGCCUAGUGACUACCAAAUUGGGCAGCACACAUAGAGAACAUUUCUGUCAGCUCUGGCUUAGAGACUGUGAAUGCAAAGUAGAAGAGCCUCCCUCCACGUUCCCCACCUGCACUUUCAUGCUGCAGACCUGAUGCUCUUCUGGGUUUCUGUUUCUACCUUAUCUGGUAGAUAGUUGAGUCACUUAAACAAUAUGCUUGUAUCUUUUAUUAAUUCACCAAUGUUAGUAUUUAUGGACUUCCAUCAUCAGAGAUGUACAACUGGCUCAUUCACACUACCCUCUUUUCCUCUCCCAAUUAUUUAAUUAUAUUUUUUCCUCCAAAGAUUUCCUUUUGAACUUGAAAUUAUACGAUAGUCCUCAUGUUUUUGUGUGUAUUUAAAGGAGUACUCUGGGUUCAGAAUCUUUGAAAGAGGAUCUGGAACCCAGAACCUGUAGAGAUGAUGUUUACCUCAUUCUCUGAGCUGUGGUCGUGUACUCACACGCGGCCUUCCAAAGCAGGUUCUCAUACCAAAUUCCCGUUGAUUUUAAGAUACACCAUUAAUUUGAUAAUGAAAAUUUAAAAUGGAAACGUAGGUUGUGAGACUCAUUCUGAUCUCAGAAAUGUGACAAUGUGGAAAAACUGGCCCCUGGGUGUCCAGCAAAUCCCAGCCCUCUUGGUGGUCAGCUGCCCUUCACUUGUUCCAUCUUGUAAGGAAUGCAGGACCUUUUUUGUUAUGGUGAAGAGGGUUCAUCUCUACUCACAAUCUUGCUUUUAUAAAUUAGUAAUGGAUUUUUCAAGUACUUUUCAGUAUCUUCCAAAUGAUCCCAUAGUUUCUGUCCCUUUGCUAUUAAUAUGGUGGAAAAUACAGUUUCUGUGUUGUGAGCCGUUCUCACUUGAUGGGAAUGAUCCCCAUUUGGUAUAAACCUGAAUGUACUUCUGGAUUUAUUUUUUAUUUAGAUAUUUUUCUUGUGGUAAAAUAUGCGUAAUAUACCAUUUUAACCAUAUUGAAAUGUACGGUUCAGUGGCAUUAAGCACGUUCACAUUGUUGCGCAGCCAUCACCACAAUCUGUCUUCAGCACUUUUUCAGCAUCCCAGUAGACACUCUGUACCCAUUAAACAGUUAUUCAGUGUUCUACUUUAUGUCUCUAUGAAUUUGCCCAUUCUAAAUACCUCAUAUAAGCGGAAUCAUGUGUCUGGCUAUUUGACUUCUGUUUUCAAGAUUUGCCCAUGUAGCAUGUAUCAAAAGUUAAUUCCUUUUUUAUGGCUGAAUAUUCCAUUGUGUGAAUAAAUCACAUUUUGUUUCUCCAUUCAUCUGUUGAUGGACACUUGGGUUGUUUCUACUUUUUGGUUGUUGUGAAUUG
Molecule: long non-coding RNA, 3693 nt
Organism: Homo sapiens (human)
Lineage: Eukaryota; Metazoa; Chordata; Mammalia; Primates; Hominidae
Source: Ensembl